This 523-nucleotide ribosomal RNA is filed under the name Laius carinaticeps. RNAcentral's name for it is "partial 16S ribosomal RNA". The stretch from base 387 to 523 matches the Rfam family "Bacterial large subunit ribosomal RNA", at positions 2473 to 2610 of the family's 2925-position model. The record is from RNAcentral. Lineage: Eukaryota; Metazoa; Arthropoda; Insecta; Coleoptera; Melyridae.
CAUGUCCUUUUGAUAAUAAUUUAAGGUCUAAUCUGCCCACUGAAAAUUAAAUGGCCGCAGUAAAUUGACUGUGCUAAGGUAGCAUAAUAAUUAGUUUUUUAAUUGAAAGCUGGUAUGAAUGAUUUAAUGAGAUAUAAGCUGUCUCUUUUAAAUUUUUAAAAAAUUUUAUUUUUAAGUUAAAAAGCUUAAAUAAUAUUAAAAGACGAGAAGACCCUAUAGAGUUUAAAUUAAUUAUAUAAAUUUUAUUUUUUUUUUAUUAAUAAUAAUUUUAGGUAUUUAAUUUUAAUUGGGGCGAUUAAAAAAUUUAAUUAACUUUUUAAUUUUUAAACAUUUAUUUAUGAAUAAUUGAUCCAUUAUUAAUGAUUAAAAGAUUAAAUUACCUUAGGGAUAACAGCGUAAUUAUUUUUAAGAGUUCUAAUCGAAAAAAUAGAUUGCGACCUCGAUGUUGGAUUAAAGUUAAGUUUUGGAGCAGAAGCUAAAAUUUUAAGUCUGUUCGACUUUUAAUACUUUACAUGAUCUGAGU